GCCUGCUUAGCUCAGAGAUUAGAGCAUCUUGUAAUGCGACGGUCAUCGGUUCCCGAUAGCUGGCU
This 65-nucleotide transfer RNA is filed under the name Amentotaxus yunnanensis. RNAcentral describes it as "tRNA-Thr". Lineage: Eukaryota; Viridiplantae; Streptophyta; Pinopsida; Cupressales; Taxaceae. The record is from RNAcentral.